GGGCUCGUAGCUCAGCUAGGUAGAGCGGCAGGCUCUUAACCUGUUGGUCAGGGGUUCGAAUCCCCUCGAGCCCG
Molecule: transfer RNA, 74 nt
Filed under: Thermoplasmata archaeon
Lineage: Archaea; Methanobacteriati; Thermoplasmatota; Thermoplasmata
Also listed under: 2 other names
Description: tRNA-Lys
Rfam family: tRNA
About the family: Transfer RNA (tRNA) molecules are approximately 80 nucleotides in length.
Source: RNAcentral